RNAcentral lists this long non-coding RNA (343 nucleotides) under Setaria viridis. Its description in RNAcentral is "long non-coding RNA (SVIR_LNC005784)". Lineage: Eukaryota; Viridiplantae; Streptophyta; Magnoliopsida; Poales; Poaceae. The record is from RNAcentral.
ACAAAGCCCCCGCACACAGCAGUCCAGCCUCCAACAGCCUAGCGUAAAAGUGAUUAGGUGGAAUUGACCCGAUCGUGGAAUCGACUAAGAGCAACUCCAAGAGUUUCCUAAAAAAAUUCUCCUCCAAAACUAUGUAUUGGGGGCUCUUCUAACAUAUUCCUUCCCUAAAUCAUCCUGCAACAGAUCUCCAGAAACUAGCCUCUCUAAUAUUUUAAAACAAGCCACGUCAUCAGAGUAGGCCCAGUUGAAAACACCCCGUCGAUCUGACCGGUGACCGCACGCGUCCACACCUUACCAGCGCCACACCCACACUUAUCUCUCUGAUUUUCACCGUUCCUCUCCC